AGGAAAAAUGCACAUACUAUUUUAUAGGUGUUGAUAUGGUGACAUCUGAUUGACUAUUUUAACUAUGUUGUCAUAUGACAUUCUAUAAAUCUAUUUGUGUAUUUUUUCUGUAAAUAUAGAUAGCAUUGUUCUUAAAAAUAUUGGCUAUGCUACAUGUACAUGAUAGUUUGCAUACGCAUAAUAUAGUAAAAUGUGAUUGGGCAAAGGCAUAUAUAUUAAUUAGGAACAAGGGCUUAAUUUCUUAUUAAGUAAAACAAGUGCUUAAUUUCUUAUUCUGCAGACAAGGACAUUUCUAUCAUUUGGUGGGUUGUGCAAUUGCUAAUGAUGGCAGAAAUGGGACCCACCCUUGUCUACAACUUUCAAAACUUUUCAUUUAAAAACGUCACAAAAGAUUAUGCUGAGUGUGCUGCACACUCAUUUUGACGGUACACUUACACAAGUGGCCCCACGAAAUGAAUGCA
Molecule: long non-coding RNA, 461 nt
Filed under: Olea europaea subsp. europaea
Lineage: Eukaryota; Viridiplantae; Streptophyta; Magnoliopsida; Lamiales; Oleaceae
Source: RNAcentral